RNAcentral lists this ribosomal RNA (253 nucleotides) under uncultured bacterium. RNAcentral describes it as "partial 16S ribosomal RNA". It matches the Rfam family "Bacterial small subunit ribosomal RNA", at positions 524 to 776 of the family's 1533-position model. The record is from RNAcentral.
UACGUAGGCAGCAAGCGUUGUUCGGAGUUACUGGGCGUAAAGAGUGCGUAGGCGGUUUUGCAAGUCUGUUGUGAAAUCUCCCGGCUUAACUGGGAGGGUGCGGUGGAAACUGCAAGGCUAGAGUGUGGGAAAGGUAGGCGGAAUUCCUGGUGUAGCGGUGAAAUGCGUAGAUAUCAGGAGGAACACCGGUGGUGUAGACGGCUUACUAGACCAUGACUGACGCUGAGGCACGAAAGCGUGGGUAGCAAACAGG